Molecule: long non-coding RNA, 1912 nt
Filed under: Phasianus colchicus (ring-necked pheasant)
Lineage: Eukaryota; Metazoa; Chordata; Aves; Galliformes; Phasianidae
Description: lncRNA (ENSPCLG00000011584.1)
Source: RNAcentral
UCCAUGUGCUAACCCUUCUUCAUUCCAUGUUGUAAAUUAAAGUAAUUAGCAAACAAAAGCCAGCUUGUAGACUUUCCCUACAAGUAGAAACAGGCACAGAAGCAUCAAGGCACUUUUCCUUUGUUUAAACAUUACAAAUGUCAUUGAUCAUUUCAUGGAAUUAAUCUUGGGAGGUUAAAAAAAAUCUAAUAGAGAGUGUGAAAGGGUAGGCAGUGAAAAAUGGUUAGAGUGAAUGUUAACGCGAGUACUCUGGUUGUCACUGGUAGCUAUUCAAGCAAAUGAGAUGCUUUGCUGUAGCUUGGCAGAAGAAUAUUUUUGUAGUACAGAGAAAUGAAAUGUGUAGCAUAGGCAAUGCACUCUGAAGAGACAUUUCCUGGAAGCCAUUUUCAUUUUUAUCAUACAUAGCCCAUUCUUAAAGAAGGCAUGGCUGUUCCUUCCUCGGCUUUUGUGCUGGGACUUUCUAUUUUCUGCUGGGAGCUGCAGCAAUGUGUGGUUUCUGUUGAGAGAGGAAACUUUCCUGUAAGGCAUAUAUGCUAAAAAAAACCCAAAAGUUUGCUUGUUUGUGCCAUUUUCCUUAAAAUAGCCCGGAAAACUGUUUUCAAAUGCCCCUCCAGUGAUGAUUUAGGUUAACAGCUUGGUGACAUUAUUAUGUUUCCAUUAAAUGUUGAGAAGUUUGUGGGUAGUUUCUUUUGGCAGAUCAGGUUGGUUAAAAGUAUGUUUUCACAGUGACUCGUUUUGAUUUCUUUAUUACAUUAUGGGCAACUGUAAUAGUGUCUUUCAUUUUCUAUCUUCUUUUUUUGCUUAUUUUCUUUAAGAUCCUCUUGUAGGACUUGAAAACACUGAUAUUCUGCUGAAUUCAUUCGUCAUAUAACAAGGACUGGGUACUGCCAAAGUUAUGGAAUCUCUUUCUAAUGGGAGCUGACCAAACCUGAAAUGAGUUACAGAGCUUUGCUGUUUUUGUUAGAGAAGACUGUAGGAAACAGCCCAAGUGAACAGGAAUAUGACUGGCAGUUGCUGCAGCUCUGCAUGAGCCUGGGAAGGAAUGGUUAUUCUGACUUCAGAAUGAACUACAAAGAAACAUGUGGCUGGAAGAAAAUGUGAUCAGAGCAAAGGUGCUAUUUUGGAGCAGGUCUAAGCUUUGUUGGUGCUCUGGGACUCUGUAUGACUUCAUUUUCUUUCUUUGUGUGAGACAGUGUCCUCUUUGGAACAAAAUCUCUGCAGGAGCUACUUACUGAACACAGAAAACAAACGUAAAUCUCAACAUCAGGUAAAAUCUCCACUGAAUCAGAGACUGUGAGCAAGUCCCACAUGGACUGUGGGCAGCUCACUUUUAAAAAGCUCUGAGCUUACAUACCACAAUUAGUCAGCAAUGGUUGUUAAUUAUGUCGACUAACAAAUUUAAGUAUGAUGGCAAAUAGACAAAACCGUAUGAGUGGCUGGGGGAGAAAACUGAUGACUGUAUGUUGGCGCAAGGCUUCCAAGGAGUAGGGUACAGUGUGUGCCAGACAAUGUGUACUGGCAGAAUGGCAGGUGGUGAUUUUAAACUCUUGUUUCUUUUCUUCCUGUGAACUUGGUCACUGAAAUGAAUCGUUCUGAGUACCUUGUUGCACUGGGAAUAGAAGUUGCUCCCAAUAAUCCUCUGCUUAGACUGAGAUUCACUUGACAAAAUACAGAUACACUGCCUGCCAUCUAGGUGUCUCCCUCUAGGUGUCUACCUGUAGGUUUCUACCUGUAGGUCUAGUGGCUUCUUUCUGGGUGUCCAUAGUUAGAAUUUCUUGAGGUAGUCAUCUCGCCUUUCUUUUCAGCAUGGCUAGAUAAAAUACAAGUGACAUGAUUGGUCUUUUUGCAUUAUUUAUUAAAUUUUACUUUUGUUAAAGUAUUCUAGAUAACAUCAAAUCAUUUUAUAUGCAGC